Long non-coding RNA from Nicotiana attenuata, 191 nucleotides. RefSeq lists it as uncharacterized. The record is from RefSeq and is a predicted model, not a curated record. The transcript is spliced from 3 exons. NCBI's taxonomy places the organism in Eukaryota, Viridiplantae, Streptophyta, Magnoliopsida, Solanales, Solanaceae.
UAUUGUAGCAACGCUUUCCAUGAUGUUUCUCUUUGGAAUGGAACUAAAUAACUAUUUGACAGUGACCACCACUACAUCCGUUGUUGUUGAUAAGAGUUCUGAUGCGGAAUUCUUACGAAUUGAUUUUAAUAUGAGUUUUCCGGCACUGUCUUGUGAAUUUGCAUCAGUGGAUGUGAGUGACGUCUUAGGAA